UGGGGAAUAUUGGACAAUGGGCGCAAGCCUGAUCCAGCCAUGCCGCGUGAGUGAUGAAGGCCCUAGGGUUGUAAAGCUCUUUCACCGGUGAAGAUAAUGACGGUAACCGGAGAAGAAGCCCCGGCUAACUUCGUGCCAGCAGCCGCGGUAAUACGAAGGGGGCUAGCGUUGUUCGGAAUUACUGGGCGUAAAGCGCACGUAGGCGGAUAUUUAAGUGAGGGGUGAAAUCCCAGGGCUCAACCCUGGAACUGCCUCUCAUACUGGGUAUCUCGAGUUCGAGAGAGGUGAGUGGAAUUGCGAGUGUAGAGGUGAAAUUCGUAGAUAUUCGCAGGAACACCAGUGGCGAAGGCGGCUCACUGGCUCGAUACUGACGCUGAGGUGCGAAAGCGUGGGGAGCAAACAGGAUUAGAUACCCCUGUAGUCC
RNAcentral lists this ribosomal RNA (424 nucleotides) under uncultured prokaryote. Its description in RNAcentral is "bacterial SSU rRNA". It matches the Rfam family "Bacterial small subunit ribosomal RNA", at positions 355 to 796 of the family's 1533-position model. The record is from RNAcentral.